UUUUCCUACGGGAGGCAGCAGUGGGGAAUCUUCCGCAAUGGGCGCAAGCCUGACGGAGCAACGCCGCGUGAAUGAAGAAGGUCUUCGGAUCGUAAAGUUCUGUUCUUAGGGAAGAAGUCUUUUCUUGUGAAUAAUGGGAGAAGGUGACGGUACCUAUGGAGAAAGCUCCGGCUAACUACGUGCCAGCAGCCGCGGUAAUACGUAGGGAGCGAGCGUUGUCCGGAAUUACUGGGCGUAGAGGGCGCGUAGGCGGGAACUUAAGUUAGAUGUGGAAACUCCGGGCUCAACCUGGAGACUGCAUUUAA
Molecule: ribosomal RNA, 305 nt
Filed under: uncultured bacterium
Lineage: Bacteria
Description: bacterial SSU rRNA
Rfam family: Bacterial small subunit ribosomal RNA
Source: RNAcentral